This 72-nucleotide transfer RNA is filed under the name Kibdelosporangium phytohabitans. RNAcentral's name for it is "Kibdelosporangium sp. KLBMP 1111 tRNA". It matches the Rfam family "tRNA". From Rfam's summary of the family: Transfer RNA (tRNA) molecules are approximately 80 nucleotides in length. Their secondary structure includes four short double-helical elements and three loops (D, anti-codon, and T loops). The record is from Rfam by way of RNAcentral. Lineage: Bacteria; Bacillati; Actinomycetota; Actinomycetes; Pseudonocardiales; Pseudonocardiaceae.
CGUCCUGUAGCUCAGGUGGCAGAGCAUCCGUUUGAAGCGCGGAUGGCCCAGGUUCGAGUCCUGGCGGGACGG